Molecule: long non-coding RNA, 2515 nt
Organism: Papaver somniferum (opium poppy)
Lineage: Eukaryota; Viridiplantae; Streptophyta; Magnoliopsida; Ranunculales; Papaveraceae
Exons: 6
Source: RefSeq, a predicted model, not a curated record
AAUCCGGAGAAUCUGAUGUGACUAGUAAAACAAGAUGAAGAAGCAUAAAGAUUUGAAAGUUGUUGGUAAAGACUCAAACUUGGAAAAUCAUUAUGAGUGGAUUCGGAAAAUGUUCAAAUUUUUGUGGAGAUCAUUGGUGAAAUUUGUGGUAAUUUGAAUACUUUUUUUCAAUCUGAUCUUACAAACGGCAUCGCACCGAGAGACAUGUACAGAGGCGCCUCUCUAUGGAGUUUAGAAGGUGUUUGAAGAACCGAAAUGGUUUAUGUAUUUAUUUGGGUAAUCAGUAUAUGAGCGGACUAGGACAAUGGAAGUAUCAGAAAAGGUGGUGUUGGUCUGUAUCUCUGUUAAUGCCUCAAUUAAACAAAGUGGCACCGACCGAUACAUGGGAACUCAUUAAAAAUCUCGUUGAACAGAACCAUGACAAGAUUCCAUUGACAGAUGAAGAUAAGGAAGAAGUAAGUUGUUGUGAUUGGAAACACUUCCAAGAUUGGAAGGAGAGAAAGAACCAAGGGGACCAAUUACAAAGCGGAAAUGGAAGAACAACUUUCAUGCUGGAGGGAGUACAUUACAGACGACAGGCAGUCAAGAUGAGGGGCCAUCCUCAAUAGCUCUGUCAAAAGGGUAACAAGUAAACAAAAUUUUGCUGACUUGAAUUCCAGUCUAGCUCAAUUUUAUACUAGUUCAUCCGCGAUUGAAUUUUUGAUACUAAAGUGCCUAUUUCUAUGACUCUCUAUUCUUCCUUCUGCCUUUGGAACUAACGCAUCUGGGUUCCUCUUAUGCUUGGUUUCUAACCCAUGGUAAUGAAUUGCUGAUUGUAAUCUUUCUGAUCAUCUAAAUUCUAAAACGUCUUUUUCUCUAGUAAUAUGUAGUUUGUAAUUGCAAGUAACAUGAGUUUUUGGAUUUUUUUUCAUGCAUGUAGUGAUUUUCUCUGUAGUUCUGGGUGUUUGGUUUUCUUUCAGAAAUCUUAAUCAGGACAAUAGUGAAGAUAACCUGUUAACAAUUCCCUAAUGUAAUAUGGCUUUAUACUGCUGAAGUACUGUUACCAGAUAUGCUGAAGAAUUAAUCCCCACUCUUAUUCCUUUUCGGACAAUGCCAUUGAGACUUACAUCAACCACAUGCUAACAUUUUUUUUGUUAUUCAAAACUCAAUUCUCAAAUUCAUUUUCAGUCAUACUUUUCAAAACUCAGCCACUCCUCUAUAUAGGAAGCUGCCCUUAUCCACUGGGCACAUGUCAACUAUAAAACCAUAGUGAACCCUAAAGGCCUAACCCUAGGUAUAAAAAGGAAAAGUUUGAGAGAAAGAGAGAGAGACAGAGUUAAGGAUGGAUAUAGAAGUUGCUGCUAAAGACUCGGAAGAACUGAAUGAAAUUGAAGAAUUCAUGUAUUGAUCUUGAUAAUUGGUAUAAGCGGACUCGGAAAAUAGAUGAAGAUCGUUGUCAACAUAGCUGGUGUGCAUCUUUUUUUAAGCCUCUAUGGGUACCAAACCCUCAGAGAGAAAGGCAAUCAGGCUUUUCGGAUUCCUUAUGCAAACUGUUUUCUACUUCCGUUUGAAACACCGAAAGAAUGAAGGUCUCACAGCUGAACAAUUGAUACUUCAUUUUGAGAUGGAGCAACAGAGUGACGUGCCAUCCACCGAACCAAGACUCGAAUCAGCAUAGAGGUUCUAUUUCUUGUAUUUGAUGGUCUGACGGACACAUGUCGGGAUCUGGUGGAUCGAUAUCUUGCCAACCGAAAACAAUUCCAGGGUGAAGACGCAUAAUCCAUCAAUGUUGUUGUCAGCCUGAUAGGCUUUGCAAACUAUCAAGGAAGGUCAUGAUAUACCAGUUGAAAGAUUUCGUAACUGGAGAUACAAGUCACUUGCAACAUUGGUAAUUAUUUUUGUUUCUUUGAUUUUAAUUGAAUGUUAUAAGUAAUGUUAUUUAACUUUUGCCUUAUAUUCCCCAGAAGUCUUCUGUUUCGUAAGGGCAAUGAGAGGUGAACCCACUGAUCCUUAGGUGGUGUUUGAAUUGACACAUAAUUGUAAGUAGUCAUGAGUAGCAUUUUAUUGGUCUGAUUGGAAAUUGUCUAGUAUAUGGAGCUUUUUCAUACUAGGUUUUGAACGAAAUUGUCUUCAAGUAUGAAGCCUUUGUGUUGGCCGCUAUACAUGUUAUACUAGUUAUUCACUUUGCUAUGAUUCAAUAUUGUAGUUGUAGAUUCCAACUCAUGUCUCCAAGCAAAAGGCUUGUUACUAAACUGGCAGCUGAAGAUGUUAACUGUUCGGUUCGAUUUUGGAUGACAAUUCUAAUUAAGUUGUGGACGACACAAUGAUUCUUUGUCAUGUCCAAGAAACUAGCAAAUCGGUAAUUCAGACUAGAAAUCUAGAAUUGUGGGAUGACACAUUAUAGGUACUUAACUUUCACAUGGUUUAAUUUAGCAUGUCACCAGUUGUUCAACUCAAUUAUCCCAUUAAUAAGUUGAGACAUCUUGUAAGCGAUGCGAUGUCCUUUUCUCUAGUAAUAUGCAGUAUUUGAUCUCAA